Molecule: transfer RNA, 65 nt
Filed under: Syndesmis kurakaikina
Lineage: Eukaryota; Metazoa; Platyhelminthes; Rhabdocoela; Umagillidae
Description: tRNA-Ile
Source: RNAcentral
AGUACUAAAAGUGUGAUUUGCACGCUAUUCCGAUAAAAUAGAGGAAGUUUUAUGACUUGGUGCUA